GCGCAGGGCAGGCCUGCACCGAGUCGAGGCGCUUCGGAGGGCAGGUGGCCUGACCCGAUGUCCCGGGCCAGAAGGGGCGAGAGGUCCCCCCCUGUGUUUAACUCUCGCUGGGAGGUAGGCAGUAGAGCUGUUCCCAGACCAGGCUGGAAGCCAGGAGGUAGCUAGAGAUCAUUUCAGGUGUGUGGAGGGCUGACAGAGUCCCGGUGAACCACUUUCCUGUGAGGACGUGGCGGGCGCUCGGCGCUCUGCGAGGCUGGUUUCUCCCGAAGCAGCUACCCGCAAAUUGAGCGCCUUAAGCCGAUGCAGCAGAGCUUGUUCGAUGGAACUGCCUGGAUAGAAAUAAUCUUUCUUGCCAGAAAAGAAAUAGUGUUCCUGAAAUCUGAGAGACAUGCUCUUUGUAACAAUCCUUAGAGGACUGCUGCCAGCUCUCUACAAAUGCAGGAACCUGAAAUAAAACAGUGGUGCUGCCCUGGGAAGAGUUGACACCUUUGUCAGACUCUCGUAGUAUGGUGGUACCUUCCCUGUCCAAAUUUCCCCCACAUAAGUUUUCCGAGUAAGCCUUGUUAGAAGAACAAAGAAUAACUAUUUUGGUUUGGCACUGAAAGAAGAACUUGGAAUCAUAAAUCAGUCUCGUCUUAUAUAUGCAUUUAUCUGGUCAUUGUGGAUUUUUUAAAGGCAAAUGUUCAUUGCAACUCUGUCUAGAGCUAUGCCUAUAACUUCUUCCUGUUCUUUAAAGUGUAGUGGUUCCUAUCUGCAGAUUUAUUUCUGUCAGUUCUUCCUGAAAGUCCAUCAGAUGGAAUUUUCUUUAAAUGAAAACCAGACUUCUAAAAUUAAAAUUC
Molecule: long non-coding RNA, 839 nt
Organism: Pezoporus occidentalis (night parrot)
Lineage: Eukaryota; Metazoa; Chordata; Aves; Psittaciformes; Psittacidae
Exons: 3
Source: RefSeq, a predicted model, not a curated record